RNAcentral lists this unclassified non-coding RNA (282 nucleotides) under Hevea brasiliensis (rubber tree). Lineage: Eukaryota; Viridiplantae; Streptophyta; Magnoliopsida; Malpighiales; Euphorbiaceae. The record is from RNAcentral.
AUUGUUUAUUUUGACAUGGCUGCGGCAACAUAACUAGCAAAAUAGAAGAAACAAGUCACCAACUUGAGCUUCAACAACCUGAAAUCACUAUAACAACAAAAUGAUCACUCUGGCAUCACUCACUUAGGCCCUGAUACAUUCAACUGCUUCCAAACAUGAAAUGUUCCUACAUGACAAGCUUUGCAUUUGAAUACACAAGUAGAACUAGGAGAACUCAGCAACUAAACUACGCGACCGCUAGUCUGUGAAUCUAGCCAGCACUGAUCAUAGCACAAAGUGCCU